RNAcentral lists this ribosomal RNA (253 nucleotides) under uncultured bacterium. Its description in RNAcentral is "partial 16S ribosomal RNA". It matches the Rfam family "Bacterial small subunit ribosomal RNA", at positions 524 to 776 of the family's 1533-position model. The record is from RNAcentral.
GACGUAUGGCGCGAGCGUUGUCCGGAUUUAUUGGGCGUAAAGAGCUCGUAGGCGGUUUGUCGCGUCUGCUGUGAAAACUGGAGGCUCAACCUCCAGCCUGCAGUGGGUACGGGCAAACUAGAGUGCGGUAGGGGAGAUUGGAAUUCCUGGUGUAGCGGUGGAAUGCGCAGAUAUCAGGAGGAACACCGAUGGCGAAGGCAGAUCUCUGGGCCGUAACUGACGCUGAGGAGCGAAAGCAUGGGGAGCGAACAGG